This 253-nucleotide ribosomal RNA is filed under the name uncultured bacterium. RNAcentral's name for it is "partial 16S ribosomal RNA". It matches the Rfam family "Bacterial small subunit ribosomal RNA", at positions 524 to 776 of the family's 1533-position model. The record is from RNAcentral.
UACGGAGGGAGCUAGCGUUAUUCGGAAUUACUGGGCGUAAAGCGCACGUAGGCGGCUUUGUAAGUUAGAGGUGAAAGCCUGGAGCUCAACUCCAGAAUUGCCUUUAAGACUGCAUCGCUUGAAUCCAGGAGAGGUGAGUGGAAUUCCGAGUGUAGAGGUGAAAUUCGUAGAUAUUCGGAAGAACACCAGUGGCGAAGGCGGCUCACUGGACUGGUAUUGACGCUGAUGCGCGAAAGCGUGGGGAGCAAACGGG